Molecule: ribosomal RNA, 1237 nt
Filed under: Oenococcus oeni
Lineage: Bacteria; Bacillati; Bacillota; Bacilli; Lactobacillales; Lactobacillaceae
Description: bacterial SSU rRNA
Rfam family: Bacterial small subunit ribosomal RNA
Source: RNAcentral
CAUUGGGACUGAGACACUGCCCAAACUCCUACGGGAGGCUGCAGUAGGGAAUUUUCCGCAAUGCACGAAAGUGUGACGGAGCGACGCCGCGUGUGUGAUGAAGGCUUUCGGGUCGUAAAGCACUGUUGUAAGGGAAGAAUAACUGAAUUCAGAGAAAGUUUUCAGCUUGACGGUACCUUACCAGAAAGGGAUGGCUAAAUACGUGCCAGCAGCCGCGGUAAUACGUAUGUCCCGAGCGUUAUCCGGAUUUAUUGGGCGUAAAGCGAGCGCAGACGGUUUAUUAAGUCUGAUGUGAAAUCCCGAGGCCCAACCUCGGAACUGCAUUGGAAACUGAUUUACUUGAGUGCGAUAGAGGCAAGUGGAACUCCAUGUGUAGCGGUGAAAUGCGUAGAUAUGUGGAAGAACACCAGUGGCGAAAGCGGCUUGCUAGAUCGUAACUGACGUUGAGGCUCGAAAGUAUGGGUAGCAAACGGGAUUAGAUACCCCGGUAGUCCAUACCGUAAACGAUGGGUGCUAGUUGUUAAGAGGUUUCCGCCUCCUAGUGACGUAGCAAACGCAUUAAGCACCCCGCCUGAGGAGUACGGCCGCAAGGCUAAAACUUAAAGGAAUUGACGGGGACCCGCACAAGCGGUGGAGCAUGUGGUUUAAUUCGAAGAUACGCGAAAAACCUUACCAGGUCUUGACAUACCAAUGAUCGCUUUUGUAAUGAAAGCUUUUCUUCGGAACAUUGGAUACAGGUGGUGCAUGGUCGUCGUCAGCUCGUGUCGUGAGAUGUUGGGUUAAGUCCCGCAACGAGCGCAACCCUUGUUAUUAGUUGCCAGCAUUUAGUUGGGCACUCUAAUGAGACUGCCGGUGAUAAACCGGAGGAAGGUGGGGACGACGUCAGAUCAUCAUGCCCCUUAUGACCUGGGCAACACACGUGCUACAAUGGGAAGUACAACGAGUCGCAAACCGGCGACGGUAAGCUAAUCUCUUAAAACUUCUCUCAGUUCGGACUGGAGUCUGCAACUCGACUCCACGAAGGCGGAAUCGCUAGUAAUCGCGAAUCAGCAUGUCGCGGUGAAUACGUUCCCGGGUCUUGUACACACCGCCCGUCAAAUCAUGGGAGUCGGAAGUACCCAAAGUCGCUUGGCUAACUUUUAGAGGCCGGUGCCUAAGGUAAAAUCGAUGACUGGGAUUAAGUCGUAACAAGGUAGCCGUAGGAGAACCUGCGGCUGGAUCACCUCCUUUCUAAGGA